Molecule: transfer RNA, 85 nt
Filed under: archaeon
Lineage: Archaea
Also listed under: 1 other name
Description: tRNA-Leu
Rfam family: tRNA
About the family: Transfer RNA (tRNA) molecules are approximately 80 nucleotides in length. Their secondary structure includes four short double-helical elements and three loops (D, anti-codon, and T loops).
Source: RNAcentral
GCGGGGGUUGCCGAGAUUGGUCAAAGGCGCAGGGCUUAGGACCCUGUCUUGUAGAAGUUCGUGGGUUCAAAUCCCAUCCCCCGCA